UACGGGGGGGGCAAGCGUUGUUCGGAAUUACUGGGCGUAAAGGGCGCGUAGGCGGUUCGCUAAGUUGGAUGUGAAAACUCUGGGCUCAACCCAGAGCCUGCAUCCAAAACUGGCGGGCUAGAGUUCUGGAGGGGGUAGCGGAAUUCCUGGUGUAGCGGUGAAAUGCGUAGAUAUCAGGAGGAACACCAAUGGCGAAGGCGGCUCACUGGACCGGAACUGACGCUGAGGCGCGAAAGCGUGGGGAGCAAACAGG
RNAcentral lists this ribosomal RNA (253 nucleotides) under uncultured bacterium. RNAcentral's name for it is "partial 16S ribosomal RNA". It matches the Rfam family "Bacterial small subunit ribosomal RNA", at positions 524 to 776 of the family's 1533-position model. The record is from RNAcentral.